Molecule: ribosomal RNA, 501 nt
Filed under: uncultured bacterium
Lineage: Bacteria
Description: bacterial SSU rRNA
Rfam family: Bacterial small subunit ribosomal RNA
Source: RNAcentral
GAGUUUGAUCGUGGCUCAGAUUGAACGCUGGCGGCAGGCCUAACACAUGCAAGUCGAGCGGUAGAGAGAAGCUUGCUUCUCUUGAGAGCGGCGGACGGGUGAGUAAUGCCUAGGAAUCUGCCUGGUAGUGGGGGAUAACGCUCGGAAACGGACGCUAAUACCGCAUACGUCCUACGGGAGAAAGCAGGGGACCUUCGGGCCUUGCGCUAUCAGAUGAGCCUAGGUCGGAUUAGCUAGUUGGUGAGGUAAUGGCUCACCAAGGCGACGAUCCGUAACUGGUCUGAGAGGAUGAUCAGUCACACUGGAACUGAGACACGGUCCAGACUCCUACGGGAGGCAGCAGUGGGGAAUAUUGGACAAUGGGCGAAAGCCUGAUCCAGCCAUGCCGCGUGUGAAGAAGGUCUUCGGAUUGUAAAGCACUUUAAGUUGGGAGGAAGGGCAGUAAAUUAAUACUUUGCUGUUUUGACGUUACCGACAGAAUAAGCACCGGCUAACUCUGUG